AACGAACGCUGGCGGCAGGCUUAACACAUGCAAGUCGAACGCCCCGCAGGGGGAGUGGCAGACGGGUGAGUAACGCGUGGGAACGUACCUUUCGCUUCGGAAUAUCCCCGGGAAACUGGGAGCAAUGCCGAAUACGCCGUAUUGGGAAAGAUUUAUCGGCGAAAGAUCGGCCCGCGUUAGAUUAGGUAGUUGGCGGUGUAAUGGACCACCAAGCCUACGAUCUAUAGCUGGUCUGAGAGGGUGAUCAGCCACACUGGGACUGAGACACGGCCCAGACUCCUACGGGAGGCAGCAGUGGGGAAUCUUGGACAAUGGGCGCAAGCCUGAUCCAGCCAUGCCGCGUGAGUGAAGAAGGCCUUAGGGUUGUAAAACUCUUUCGCCGGUGAAGAUAAUGACGGUAACCGGAGAAGAAGCCCCGGCUAACUUCGUGCCAGCCGCCGCUGUAA
RNAcentral lists this ribosomal RNA (446 nucleotides) under uncultured bacterium. Its description in RNAcentral is "partial 16S ribosomal RNA". It matches the Rfam family "Bacterial small subunit ribosomal RNA", at positions 29 to 523 of the family's 1533-position model. The record is from RNAcentral.